GAACCCCUUCACAGGACUGAAAGCAAAAAGCACCCGAGACAAAACAGUCAGCAUGGAUUUCCAGGACCGAAGUAAGUCGUGAUGCAGGAAAUGAGUGCGUUUCACAGCUUGCUGAGCCCCUACUCGACCCAGGAAGCCCAGCUGGCCCCUCCUCUCAACAGGAGUGAGAAUCAGGUAUGUUGGUCGGCCAUGGACUCUCCUCAAUGGUAAAUGGGUGUGUGGGGGUCAG
Molecule: long non-coding RNA, 229 nt
Filed under: Homo sapiens (human)
Lineage: Eukaryota; Metazoa; Chordata; Mammalia; Primates; Hominidae
Description: PREDICTED lncRNA (TCONS_00236490)
Source: RNAcentral